AACCACCAAAACUCCCUGGUCUCUCUGUGGUACAUCACAUCCUCCCCGUGCUUCCUCUUAGCCGGCUCUGCCCCAUGGUGCACACGCAGCUUGCCUUUCCGAGGACAAGCGGGAAGAGGCAUGACAAGUGGCUUUGUUUGGCUUUUGUUUGCUGCAUUUGGGAAAUGGUCUACAAGAUUGUAGAUGGUUUACAAGAUUGUAACCUGGUGGAGAAAGAAGAACAUUUUUUAUUUGUUUACACCAAGAGAGGAGCAGACGUCAUCUCUUUAGGAACCCUUGAGCCACAAUGCCACUUGGACGGGAUUUAUGGACAGCUUUUCAAAACAAGCAUUCGAAACAUGAAUGUGCAUCCAGAGGCAGCUUGGGCAAAGAAUGCCAUUUUUGUUCUUCUUUUUUGCUUACCAGUUAAACACAAACAUUUGAAUAAAUGAAUAAUUUGGCAUCCAUGUGAACGUUUCAUACGCUACACACACUUUUUGCUUUCUAAAUAGUCACACAAUUUCUUCCUAGAUUUUGAAAGAUGCCAUUUUGAGAAAGAAAAAAAUACAAUAUAAUGUUUCAAAAGUUGUGAAAGAAAUGGUUAAUGUUUCUGCCAGUUCUCAGUCAGCAACUGGGUAUUCGAAAAAAUCAUAUUCUCAGAUACGAGCAAAGAUAUACAACUACAUGUUCCUAAACUGGGC
Molecule: long non-coding RNA, 680 nt
Filed under: Anser brachyrhynchus (Pink-footed goose)
Lineage: Eukaryota; Metazoa; Chordata; Aves; Anseriformes; Anatidae
Description: lncRNA (ENSABRG00000003980.1)
Source: RNAcentral